GGCGACGAUGCGUAGCCGACCUGAGAGGGUGAUCGGCCACACUGGGACUGAGACACGGCCCAGACUCCUACGGGAGGCAGCAGUAGGGAAUCUUCCGCAAUGGACGAAAGUCUGACGGAGCAACGCCGCGUGAGUGAUGAAGGUUUUCGGAUCGUAAAGCUCUGUUGUUAGGGAAGAACAAGUGCGAGAGUAACUGCUCGCACCUUGACGGUACCUAACCAGAAAGCCACGGCUAACUACGUGCCAGCAGCCGCGGUAAUACGUAGGUGGCAAGCGUUGUCCGGAAUUAUUGGGCGUAAAGGGCUCGCAGGCGGUUUCUUAAGUCUGAUGUGAAAGCCCCCGGCUCAACCGGGGAGGGUCAUUGGAAACUGGGAAACUUGAGUGCAGAAGAGGAGAGUGGAAUUCCACGUGUAGCGGUGA
Molecule: ribosomal RNA, 420 nt
Filed under: Bacillus sp. 33B(2010)
Lineage: Bacteria; Bacillati; Bacillota; Bacilli; Caryophanales; Bacillaceae
Description: bacterial SSU rRNA
Rfam family: Bacterial small subunit ribosomal RNA
Source: RNAcentral